RNAcentral lists this ribosomal RNA (149 nucleotides) under uncultured marine microorganism. RNAcentral's name for it is "partial 16S ribosomal RNA". The record is from RNAcentral.
CCCCUGCUCAAUGAAAAAAUUAAAUAGCCGCUUUGGCGUUAAGGUAGCAUAAUAAUUAACCCUUUAAUUGGGGGCUGAGUUCCUUGUGACAUCUUUUGGUCUUUGGUUGUGAGUUGUGACACGAGUGAAGUCGCGCUAGCAGAGAAGAG